Raphanus sativus (radish) is the source of this 2504-nucleotide RNA transcript. RefSeq lists it as uncharacterized. The transcript has 5 exons. The record is from RefSeq and is a predicted model, not a curated record. Lineage: Eukaryota; Viridiplantae; Streptophyta; Magnoliopsida; Brassicales; Brassicaceae.
AAGCAUGUCAGUUCCUAACCGACCGGUGAAAGAAGAAACAUUUAUUUUUGAUUUCCCUUUUGUGGGUUGCUGUGUCUGUCUACCGAGUUUCUUUCUCUUCGGCGGGAGAAAAUUGAGACCGAUAUAUAAUACUACGACCAUGGAAGAGUUACAUAAAACGACAACAGGCUUGAAGAAAGCUUACGCGGAGAUAAUCCUAAACACGGCGAAGGAAUCGGCGGCUAGGGUUAUGCUUUCCGACAGAAAAUCAGCUCGGUUUCACCACGAUCUCUCCGAGACUAAAGAGGAAGCUCUUCGUUUGCUUGUCCGAUUGAAACAUAUGAUUGAUGCUAAGACGAUUGAAGCAGAUGUUAUAUCAUCAAACCAGCAACGGAAAAUUGAUGUGCUUGAAGCUCAGCUUCACGAGGCUGAAGAUAUUAUUACUGACCUUAGGUCUGAGGUUAGAUGGGUGAGAGAUAGAUUGGAGAAAGCUAAGGCUUUUGAGUCUCAGGAACUGGACCUUGUGAACAUGGAAGAAGAAGAAGAAGAAGAAGAAGAAGAAGAAGAAGACACGGUUUCUGUUCACAAGGCUGUUGUUGAAAGUUUGAAUCCUGAUCAAGAGCAUGAUGUUGACUGUGAAAAUGAUGAAAAGCAGUUUGACGGGUUAAGUGUGGUUAAUACUUUACACGCUUGUGAGCCGCAGGAGCUGAAUGUUGUGAGCGAGGAAGAAGUAGAAACGGUUUCUGUUCAUGAGAUUGAUCCAGAGGUUGUGCUUGAAAGUGUGAAACCUGAUCAGGUGGAUCGUGGCUCAUAUGAAAAUGAUGAGAGUUCGGAGAAAGCAAAGGCUUCUGAGUCGCAGGAAAGGAACCUUGUGAACAUGGAAGAAGAAAGGGUUUCUGCUCACAAGGUUGAACCAGAGGUUGUUGUUGAAAGUGUGAAUACUGAUCAUAGCUCAGCACAUGAUGUUGAAUGUGAAAAUGAUAUAAAUUUGGAGAAAGCAAAGGCUUCUGAGUCUCAGGAGCAGAACAUUGUGAACAAGGAAGAAGAAUCGGUUUCUGCUCACAAGGUUGUUGUUGAAAGCUUGAAACCUAAUCAAGAGGUUGCAGAUACGUGCUUCUCUCAUGAAAAUGAUUUUGACGGGUUAAGUGUUGUUGUUGAUACUAUGAUGGGAAACGAUGUAUGUGAGUCAGAGUUGGAUGGUGAUAUCAGAAUCAAAAAGCUUGAGCUGUCUAGGAAUGGUUGUACACAGAGGAUCCAUGCUUUGGAAAGGGUAGUUCUCGAGAGGCAGUCAUCUUCUUCCGCAGAUGAAGAAGGCACAACUGAGAAGGACAGUGAAGAGAACUUGAGCUCUUCUGGAAAAGCUGGCACUUUGGAAAACAAAAGAUGUCUUGUUCUUGCUCUUAGAGCUAGUAGUGCAGAGGUGGUAACAAUGCCAUCAUUAGGAUUCAAGAAAACCAGCAAGGCGCGCAAAUUAAGAGGAAGGAGAAAGAGAAGGUUUGGCAAACCAAAAGCCAAAUCGGUUAGGUCUCAAAGUCAGCUUAUAAAACCUUGUCAGUCUCAGUCUAAUGUUACCUCUUCCAAGACAUCAACUUCAGAUGGCGAAGAUUCCAUUGAGAGUGAGGAGGUGGAUGACCUUAAAACCUGUAAAGAGUUGAAAGAACAGUUGCAGCUAAAACGUACUCUAGAGAGUGGUGAUAUCAGUAUAGACCGUAAAGGAAAAAAGAGCAAGAAUAUGCAUGUGACUGGUAAUUUUGUGGAGGCAUGUCAAGAAUCUAAUUUAGUCUCCAUUAAUGUUGAGGAUGCUGAUUUAACGGAAAGCGAGACUAAGAUAAAGCCACUUCCUCGUUGGAGAUCAAGAAAAGAAGAUGCGUUAGUAGAUGUUUUGAUAAGUUGUGAAGGUGAAGAAGAUAGUGUGAUUCUAUCUACCAAGACGGCUUCUAGUUUGGUCAAUCUGCGUUCUGACUCGAAAGUUAGUUCAGUAGUAUCAGAUCAAAUCAGUGAGUCUCCUCCAAGAGCAAAUGUAAAUCGGCUUCUGAAGUACACAUUCCAAAGGAAACGAAAGAGAGGAUCUGCAAAUAUAAACGACGAUAGUAAUAACCUUCCAUGGAAACAACAUCAAGAAAACAAAGCUCAAGACCAAAUUGAAUCUACUUUGAGUAAAUGAACCAUCUAUAGGAAACCCACAACUAGCUGAGGUUGCCACACAUCUUAACUCCUUGUCUGAGAGGUGAUGAUGGUAGACUGGCUAAAUUCUUUGUGCAAGUGGAAACACCUGAGAACAUAUAGAUAAAUAUCAACUAAAAUGCUUAAGCUGAGAAAACAUUUUGCAAAACAGAGAGCGCAUGUGUUUGGGAAAGACGAGCAACCUUGGGGCCACACAAGUGUGAAAGAAUUAACAAGACAGAGCAGCAGCAGGCGUGUAAUGUGUUUUAAUUAUUGUUUUUGUUACUCAUAUUGCUAUUCAAUUUUUUUCUGGUAUAUUAUUCUUAAUUCAAUAUCACUAAAAUACAUGUAUAUUGUUUACA